This 292-nucleotide ribosomal RNA is filed under the name uncultured bacterium. RNAcentral describes it as "partial 16S ribosomal RNA". It matches the Rfam family "Bacterial small subunit ribosomal RNA", at positions 505 to 796 of the family's 1533-position model. The record is from RNAcentral.
GUGCCAGCCGCCGCGGUAAUACGUAGGGGGCGAGCGUUGUCCGGAAUUAUUGGGCGUAAAGAGCGUGUAGGCUGUUCGGUAAGUCUGCCGUGAAAACCUGAGGCUCAACCUCGGGCGUGCGGUGGAUACUGCCGGGCUAGAGGACGGUAGAGGCGAGUGGAAUUCCCGGUGUAGCGGUGAAAUGCGCAGAUAUCGGGAGGAACACCAGUAGCGAAGGCGGCUCGCUGGGCCGUUCCUGACGCUGAGACGCGAAAGCUAGGGGAGCGAACAGGAUUAGAUACCCCGGUAGUCC